GAUGAACGCUGGCGGCGUGCCUAAUACAUGCCAGUCGAGCGAACAGACGAGGAUCUUGCUCUUCUGACGUUAGCGGCGGACGGGUGAGUAACACGUGGAUAACCUACCUAUAAGACUGGGAUCACUUCGGGAAACCGGAGCUAAUACCGGAUAAUAUAUUGAACCGCAUGGUUCAAUAGUGAAAGACGGUAUUGCUGUCACUUAUAGAUGGAUCCGCGCCGCAUUAGCUAGUUGGUAAGGUAACGGCUUACCAAGGCAACGAUGCGUAGCCGACCUGAUAGGGUGAUCGUCCACACUGGAGCUGAGCCACGGUCCAGACGCCUACGGGACGCAGCAGAAGGGAAGUUUCCCCAAUGGGCGAAAGCCUGACGGUGCAACGCCGGGUCAGUGAUGAAGGUCUUCGGAGCGUAAAGCUCGGUUUUUAGGGAAGAACAAAUGUGGAAGUAACUAUGCACGUCUUGACGGUACCUAAUCAGAAAGCCACGGCUAACUACGUG
RNAcentral lists this ribosomal RNA (497 nucleotides) under uncultured bacterium. Its description in RNAcentral is "partial 16S ribosomal RNA". It matches the Rfam family "Bacterial small subunit ribosomal RNA", at positions 28 to 507 of the family's 1533-position model. The record is from RNAcentral.